Long non-coding RNA from Haliotis rubra (blacklip abalone), 645 nucleotides. RefSeq lists it as uncharacterized. Lineage: Eukaryota; Metazoa; Mollusca; Gastropoda; Lepetellida; Haliotidae. The record is from RefSeq and is a predicted model, not a curated record. The transcript is spliced from 3 exons.
CAGUGAAAAGUGAAAACUGUCACUGUUUGAUCUUAUCCUGCAGUGAAAAGUGAAAACUAUGUCACUGUUUGAUCUUAUCCUGCAGUGAAAAGUGAAAACUGUCACUGUUUGAUCUUAUCCUGCUGCGAAAAGUGAAAACUGUCACUGUUUGAUCUUAUCCUGCUGCGAAAAGUGAAAACUGUCACUGUUUGAUCUUAUCCUGCAAAGUGAAAACUGUCACUGUUUGAUCUUAUCCUGCUGCGAAAAGUGAAAACUGUCACUGUUUGAUCUUAUCCUGCAGUGAAAAGUGAAAACUGUCACUGUUUGAUCUUAUCCUGCUGCGAAAAUGAAAACUGUCACUGUUUGAUCUUAUCCUGCAGUGAAAAGUGAAAACUGUCACUGUUUGAUCUUAUCCUGCAGCGAAAAGUGAAAACUGUCACUGUUUGAUCUUAUCCUGCUGCGAAAAGUGAAAACUGUCACUGUUUGAUCUUAUCCUGCAGAAAAAAUGAAAACUGUCACUGUUUGAUCUUAUCCUGCUGCAAAAAGUGAAAACUGUCACUGUUUGAUCUUAUCCUGCUGUGAAAAGUGAAAACUGUCACUGUUUGAUUUUAUCCUGCUGCGAAAAGUGAAAACUGUCACUGUUUGAUCUUAUCCUGCAGCAAAUAG